GACGAACGCUGGCGGCGUGCCUAAUACAUGCAAGUCGAGCGCAGGAAGUCAUCCGAACCCUUCGGGGGGACGUUGACGGAAUGAGCGGCGGCCGGGUGAGUAACACGUAAAGAACCUGCCCUCAGGUCUGGGAUAACCACGAGAAAUCGGGGCUAAUACCGGAUGGGUCAUCGGACCGCAUGGUCCGAGGAUGAAAGGCGCUCCGGCGUCGCCUGGGGAUGGCUUUGCGGUGCAUUAGCUAGUUGGUGGGGUAAUGGCCCACCAAGGCGACGAUGCAUAGCCGACCUGAGAGGGUGAUCGGCCACACUGGAACUGAGACACGGCCCAGACUCCUACGGGAGGCAGCAGUAGGGAAUCUUCCACAAUGGACGAAAGCCUGAUGGAGCAACGCCGCGUGAGCGAUGAAGGCCCUCGGGUCGUAAAGUUCUGUUGUAAGGGAAGAACAAGUGCCGCAGGCAAUGGCGGCACCUUGACGGUACCUUGCGAGAAAGCCACGGCUAACUACGUG
RNAcentral lists this ribosomal RNA (508 nucleotides) under uncultured bacterium. RNAcentral describes it as "partial 16S ribosomal RNA". It matches the Rfam family "Bacterial small subunit ribosomal RNA", at positions 28 to 507 of the family's 1533-position model. The record is from RNAcentral.